RNAcentral lists this ribosomal RNA (490 nucleotides) under uncultured bacterium. Its description in RNAcentral is "bacterial SSU rRNA". It matches the Rfam family "Bacterial small subunit ribosomal RNA", at positions 38 to 507 of the family's 1533-position model. The record is from RNAcentral.
GGCGGCGUGCCUAAUACAUGCAAGUCGAGCGGAAUGAUGAAGAAGCUUGCUUCUUCUGAUUUUAGCGGCGGACGGGUGAGUAACACGUGGGCAACCUACCUUGUAGAUUGGGAUAACUCCGGGAAACCGGGGCUAAUACCGGAUAAUCCAUUUUGCUUCAUGGCGAGAUGUUAAAAGGCGGCUUCGGCUGUCACUACGAGAUGGGCCCGCGGCGCAUUAGCUAGUUGGUAGGGUAAUGGCCUACCAAGGCGACGAUGCGUAGCCGACCUGAGAGGGUGAUCGGCCACACUGGGACUGAGACACGGCCCAGACUCCUACGGGAGGCAGCAGUAGGGAAUCUUCCACAAUGGACGAAAGUCUGAUGGAGCAACGCCGCGUGAGUGAAGAAGGUUUUCGGAUCGUAAAACUCUGUUGUAAGGGAAGAACACGUACGAGAGUAACUGCUCGUACCUUGACGGUACCUUAUUAGAAAGCCACGGCUAACUACGUG